This is a long non-coding RNA of Gouania willdenowi (blunt-snouted clingfish), 507 nucleotides long. NCBI's taxonomy places the organism in Eukaryota, Metazoa, Chordata, Actinopteri, Blenniiformes, Gobiesocidae. The record is from Ensembl.
ACUUAUAAUGCUACUUGUUUUUGUGUAAAACUAAAAAGAACCCUUACGUAAACCGGAAGUGACGUAAAUAAAGUAAAAGUUGAAAGGAUCUGGCGCGACGUUAUUCGAAGCCUCAAUACAUUAGUUACGUUCAUAGAAGUUAGCCACGCCUAUUUAGCGCUCUCCAAACUAUCGUUUUUCUUCGCUAUACCUAUUUAGUGACAGAACAGCUGUAUUUUGAGGUCCGGUGACGUCAACACACGCCUCUAUAUCGACCUGAAACAAUUAAUUACUACUAAACACUGACAACAAGUCACCAUGGCAGUCCCUCCAUCGUCUACAAACGUUUUCCAAAUGAUGAAAGACGUCUUCAACAAGGCAAACGGUUAUGGAAUUCUGAACACUGAUGUGAAGACGAAGACCUUGGAAGGAGCGGAGUUUAAAAUGCCUGGUUCAUCCAACAUGGACACAAACAGAACCACUGGAACCCAAGAAACUGUGUUCAAGGCCGGAUUCAGCACCCAGACC